RNAcentral lists this ribosomal RNA (497 nucleotides) under uncultured bacterium. RNAcentral's name for it is "partial 16S ribosomal RNA". It matches the Rfam family "Bacterial small subunit ribosomal RNA", at positions 28 to 507 of the family's 1533-position model. The record is from RNAcentral.
GACGAACGCUGGCGGCGUGCCUAAUACAUGCAAGUUGAGCGCUGAAGGUUGGUACUUGUACCAACUGGAUGAGCAGCGAACGGGUGAGUAACGCGUGGGGAAUCUGCCUUUGAGCGGGGGACAACAUUUGGAAACGAAUGCUAAUACCGCAUAAAAACUUUAAACACAAGUUUUAAGUUUGAAAGAUGCAAUUGCAUCACUCAAAGAUGAUCCCGCGUUGUAUUAGCUAGUUAGUGAGGUAAAGGCUCACCAAGGCGAUGAUACAUAGCCGACCUGAGAGGGUGAUCGGCCACAUUGGGACUGAGACACGGCCCAAACUCCUACGGGAGGCAGCAGUAGGGAAUCUUCGGCAAGAGACGAAAGUCUGACCGAGCAACGCCGCGUGAGUGAAGAAGGUUUUCGGAUCGUAAAACUCUGUUGGUAGAGAAGAACGUUGGUGAGAGUGGAAAGCUCAUCAAGUGACGGUAACUACCCAGAAAGGGACGGCUAACUACGUG